UACGUAGGGUGCAAGCGUUAAUCGGAAUUACUGGGCGUAAAGCGUGCGCAGGCGGUUUUGUAAGUCUGUCGUGAAAGCCCCGGGCUCAACCUGGGAAUUGCGAAGGAGACUGCAAGGCUUGAAUCUGGCAGAGGGGGGUAGAAUUCCACGUGUAGCAGUGAAAUGCGUAGAGAUGUGGAGGAACACCGAUGGCGAAGGCAGCCCCCUGGGUCAAGAUUGACGCUCAUGCACGAAAGCGUGGGGAGCAAACAGG
RNAcentral lists this ribosomal RNA (253 nucleotides) under uncultured bacterium. Its description in RNAcentral is "partial 16S ribosomal RNA". It matches the Rfam family "Bacterial small subunit ribosomal RNA", at positions 524 to 776 of the family's 1533-position model. The record is from RNAcentral.